AAAAAGUUUAAAACUUGGAAAACUUUUAGGGUUCCUUCUGUUUCUUUUUUCGUUCAUUAUUUGGUUUGGCGAUUUUUUCUUUUUAGAAGAGAGAGGGGUAUACUAAAAUUUACACUUGUUGGUGUAAUUGCAUUUUACUCGAUUCCAUUAGACAUUCCAUUGGUGAAAUAAUGAGUCACCGUUGAUAUCGACAUAUCGGAGAUCACCAAAUGUUCGAGAGUUCCUCUAUUCAGUCUGAGAGACGAAAGCUGAGGGAGCGAAUGAGAAUAGAUACCUCAGUAGUCCUGGUCGUAAACAAUGGAUAUUAGGCACUAUGCUUAUCAACCCAUGCAGUGUUGUAGCUAACGUGGUAAGUAUCCUACCU
RNAcentral lists this ribosomal RNA (364 nucleotides) under Olea europaea subsp. europaea. RNAcentral's name for it is "SSU_rRNA_eukarya". The stretch from base 244 to 359 matches the Rfam family "Bacterial small subunit ribosomal RNA", at positions 755 to 869 of the family's 1533-position model. The record is from RNAcentral. Lineage: Eukaryota; Viridiplantae; Streptophyta; Magnoliopsida; Lamiales; Oleaceae.